CCUACGGGAGGCAGCAGUGGGGAAUAUUGGACAAUGGGCGAAAGCCUGAUCCAGCCAUGCCGCGUGUGUGAAGAAGGCCUUCGGGUUGUAAAGCACUUUCAGUGGGGAAGAAAGCCUUGGGGCUAAUACCCUCGAGGAAGGACAUCACCCACAGAAGAAGCACCGGCUAACUCCGUGCCAGCAGCCGCGGUAAUACGGAGGGUGCGAGCGUUAAUCGGAAUUACUGGGCGUAAAGCGCGCGUAGGCGGUCUGAUAAGCCGGUUGUGAAAGCCCCGGGCUCAACCUGGGAACGGCAUCCGGAACUGUCAGGCUAGAGUGCAGGAGAGGAAGGUAGAAUUACCGGUGUAGCGGUGAAAUGCGUAGAGAUCGGGAGGAAUACCAGUGGCGAAGGCGGCCUUCUGGACUGACACUGACGCUGAGGUGCGAAAGCGUGGGUAGCAAACAGGAUUAGAUACCCCGGUAGUC
Molecule: ribosomal RNA, 465 nt
Filed under: Vreelandella stevensii
Lineage: Bacteria; Pseudomonadati; Pseudomonadota; Gammaproteobacteria; Oceanospirillales; Halomonadaceae
Description: partial 16S ribosomal RNA
Rfam family: Bacterial small subunit ribosomal RNA
Source: RNAcentral